This 253-nucleotide ribosomal RNA is filed under the name uncultured bacterium. RNAcentral's name for it is "partial 16S ribosomal RNA". It matches the Rfam family "Bacterial small subunit ribosomal RNA", at positions 524 to 776 of the family's 1533-position model. The record is from RNAcentral.
UACGGAGGGUGCAAGCGUUAAUCGGAAUUACUGGGCGUAAAGCGCACGCAGGUGGCUGAGUCAGUCGAUUGUGAAAGCCCUGGGCUUAACCUGGGAAUUGCAGUCGAUACUACUCAGCUAGAGUAUGGGAGAGGGCAGUGGAAUUCCCGGUGUAGCGGUGAAAUGCGUAGAUAUCGGGAGGAACAUCAGUGGCGAAAGCGACUUCCUGGACCAGUACCGACGUUCAGGCACGAAAGCGUGGGGAGCAAACAGG